UCUAAUAAUAUNNNGCAGAUUAGUGCAAUGAAUUUAAGCUUCAUAUAUAAAGUUUAAACUUUUUUUAGAA
RNAcentral lists this transfer RNA (70 nucleotides) under Sarophorus sp. SAR01. Its description in RNAcentral is "tRNA-Leu". Lineage: Eukaryota; Metazoa; Arthropoda; Insecta; Coleoptera; Scarabaeidae. The record is from RNAcentral.